This 661-nucleotide ribosomal RNA is filed under the name uncultured bacterium. Its description in RNAcentral is "bacterial SSU rRNA". It matches the Rfam family "Bacterial small subunit ribosomal RNA", at positions 144 to 823 of the family's 1533-position model. The record is from RNAcentral.
UAACACUUAGAAAUAGGUGCUAAUACCGCAUAACAACAGAAAGCGCAUGCUUUUUGUUUGAAAACCAAGGUGGUAUGGGAUGGACCCGCGUCUGAUUAGCUGGUUGGCGGGGUAAAGGCCCACCAAGGCGACGAUCAGUAGCCGGCCUGAGAGGGUGGACGGCCACAUUGGGACUGAGACACGGCCCAAACUCCUACGGGAGGCAGCAGUGGGGAAUAUUGCACAAUGGGGGAAACCCUGAUGCAGCGACGCCGCGUGAGUGAAGAAGUAAUUCGUUAUGUAAAGCUCUAUCAGCAGGGAAGAAAAUGACGGUACCUGAGUAAGAAGCCCCGGCUAACUACGUGCCAGCAGCCGCGGUAAUACGUAGGGGGCAAGCGUUAUCCGGAUUUACUGGGUGUAAAGGGAGCGUAGACGGCAGUGCAAGUCUGGAGUGAAAGGCGGGGGCUCAACCCCCGGACUGCUCUGGAAACUGUACGGCUGGAGUGCAGGAGAGGUAAGUGGAAUUCCUAGUGUAGCGGUGAAAUGCGUAGAUAUUAGGAGGAACACCAGUGGCGAAGGCGGCUUACUGGACUGNAACUGACGUUGAGGCUCGAAAGCGUGGGGAGCAAACAGGAUUAGAUACCCCUGGKAGUCCACGCCGNAAACGAUGAUCACUAGGUGU